This 512-nucleotide long non-coding RNA is filed under the name Salmo salar (Atlantic salmon). RNAcentral describes it as "lncRNA (ENSSSAG00000090350.1, ENSSSAG00020058796.1)". The record is from RNAcentral. Lineage: Eukaryota; Metazoa; Chordata; Actinopteri; Salmoniformes; Salmonidae.
GUGUGUCACCAGAGCUCAACCCAAUUGAACACUUUUGGGAGAUUCUGGAGUGGAGCCUGAGAGCUUUUUCCACCACCAUCAACAAAACACAAUUAUGGAAUUUCUUGUGGAAGAAUGGUGUCGCAUCCCUCUAAUAGAGUUCCAGUCAUUAGGCAAUGGCAUCAACUUUGUUCCAGCCUUGUCUCUGGCCAGCUCUGCUACAGGGUCCAGCAGGAGAGACCUGACCCCCAUACAUUCAGCUGUGUGUCCACGAAGAGUGACUGGUCAAUGGGGCAUUCAAAAGAGUUCAGGAAGGAAUACUCUUCCGAUGGCAAAAGAGACAAGCAGGAAGGACCAGAGUCAGAGAUGUUCAGUGGUCAGUCUGCCCAGAGUCAACAAAUGGACCUGUCCUCCAUAUUUACGAAUGUUUUGAGAGUCACAGAGAGGAUGAGGGAGUACUGGGCACUGAAGAUGAGAAGCAGGAGAACAGUGCCAGAGAAGGGGCUCUGGAGAUCACACUGCAUGUGUUGAGG